GACGAACGCUGGCGGCGUGCUUAACACAUGCAAGUCGAACGGAAAGGCCCUGCUUUUGUGGGGUGCUCGAGUGGCGAACGGGUGAGUAACACGUGAGUAACCUGCCCUUGACUUUGGGAUAACUUCAGGAAACUGGGGCUAAUACCGGAUAGGAGCUCCUGCUGCAUGGUGGGGGUUGGAAAGUUUCGGCGGUUGGGGAUGGACUCGCGGCUUAUCAGCUUGUUGGUGGGGUAGUGGCUUACCAAGGCUUUGACGGGUAGCCGGCCUGAGAGGGUGACCGGCCACAUGGGGACUGAGAUACGGCCCAGACGCCUACGGGAGGCAGCAGGGGGGAAUAUGGCACAAUGGGCGGAAGCCUGAUGCAGCAACGCCGCGUGCGGGAUGACGGCCUUCGGGUUGUAAACCGCUUUCGCCUGUGACGAAGCGUGAGUGACGGUAAUGGGUAAAGAAGCACCGGCUAACUACGUG
RNAcentral lists this ribosomal RNA (468 nucleotides) under uncultured bacterium. Its description in RNAcentral is "partial 16S ribosomal RNA". It matches the Rfam family "Bacterial small subunit ribosomal RNA", at positions 28 to 507 of the family's 1533-position model. The record is from RNAcentral.